GACGAACGCUGGCGGCGUGCUUAACACAUGCAAGUCGAACGGGAUUUAGUAAACAGAAGCCUCGGUGGAAGAUUACUAAUGAGAGUGGCGAACGGGUGAGUAACGCGUGAGCAACCUGCCUAUGACAGUGGGAUAGCCUCGGGAAACCGGGAUUAAUACCACAUAAAAUCGUAGAAACACAUGUUUUAAAGGUCAAAGAUUUAUCGGUCAUAGAUGGGCUCGCGUCUGAUUAGCUAGUUGGUGAGAUAACAGCCCACCAAGGCGACGAUCAGUAGCCGGUCUGAGAGGAUGAACGGCCACAUUGGAACUGAGACACGGUCCAAACUCCUACGGGAGGCAGCAGUGGGGAAUAUUGCACAAUGGGGGAAACCCUGAUGCAGCGACGCCGCGUGAACGAAGAAGGUAUUCGUAUCGUAAAGUUCUGUCCUAUGGGAAGAUAAUGACAGUACCAUAG
This 454-nucleotide ribosomal RNA is filed under the name uncultured bacterium. RNAcentral's name for it is "bacterial SSU rRNA". It matches the Rfam family "Bacterial small subunit ribosomal RNA", at positions 28 to 483 of the family's 1533-position model. The record is from RNAcentral.